This 328-nucleotide unclassified non-coding RNA is filed under the name soil metagenome. RNAcentral describes it as "partial contains 5.8S ribosomal RNA, internal transcribed spacer 2, and large subunit ribosomal RNA". The stretch from base 5 to 119 matches the Rfam family "5.8S ribosomal RNA", at positions 40 to 154 of the family's 154-position model. The record is from RNAcentral.
GAUGAGAACGCAGCGAAAUGCAAUAAGUAGUGUGAAUUGCAGAAUUCAGUGAAUCAUCGAAUCUUUGAACGCACAUUGCGCCCCUUGGUAUCCCGAGGGGCAUGCCUGUUCGAGCGUCAUUUCACCACUCAAGCCUGGCUUGGUGUUGGGCGACGUCCUCUUUGGGGACGCGCCUCGAAACGCUCGGCGGCGUGGCACCGGCUUUAAGCGUAGCAGAAUCUUUCGCUUUGGAAGUCGGGGCCCCGUCUGCCGGAAGACCUGCUCGCAAGGUUGACCUCGGAUCAGGCAGGGAUACCCGCUGAACUUAAGCAUAUCAAUAAGCGGAGGA